UGGGGCAUAUUGCACAAUGGGCGCAAGCCUGAUGCAGCGACGCCGCGUGAGGGAUGACGGCCUUCGGGUUGUAAACCUCUUUCAGCAGGGAAGAAGCGAACGUGUCGGUACCUGCAGAAGACGCGCCGGCUAACUACGUGCCCGCAGCCGCGGUAAUACGUAGGGCGCGAGCGUUGUCCGGAAUUCUUGGGCGUAAAGAGCUUGUAGGCGGAUUGUUGCGUCUGCUGUGAAAGACCGGGGCUUCACGCA
This 249-nucleotide ribosomal RNA is filed under the name uncultured Micrococcaceae bacterium. RNAcentral's name for it is "partial 16S ribosomal RNA". It matches the Rfam family "Bacterial small subunit ribosomal RNA", at positions 355 to 616 of the family's 1533-position model. Lineage: Bacteria; Bacillati; Actinomycetota; Actinomycetes; Micrococcales; Micrococcaceae. The record is from RNAcentral.